This is a long non-coding RNA of Myotis brandtii (Brandt's bat), 171 nucleotides long. RefSeq lists it as uncharacterized. The record is from RefSeq and is a predicted model, not a curated record. The transcript is spliced from 3 exons. NCBI's taxonomy places the organism in Eukaryota, Metazoa, Chordata, Mammalia, Chiroptera, Vespertilionidae.
UUGGCCGGCCAGUGGCUUUUUUUUUUAAAGAUUUAAGUGAUUGAGACUUAAUGAAUGAUUGCUAGCCAGUAAGCCUUAAAAUACAAUAGUAAAGGAACAUUCUUUCUUUUCGACGCGUGAUUUCGAUUAGGAGGCUGUCUUGUUACUGAGAGUCUAUCUCAGGGGAGGGCA